Molecule: transfer RNA, 69 nt
Filed under: Sphaerodactylus townsendi
Lineage: Eukaryota; Metazoa; Chordata; Lepidosauria; Squamata; Sphaerodactylidae
Description: tRNA-Ala
Source: RNAcentral
GCUGUGGCUCAGCAGCAGAGAAUCUGCUUGGCACACAGAAGGUCCCAGGUUCAAUCCUCGGCAUCUCCU